Molecule: ribosomal RNA, 300 nt
Filed under: uncultured Flexithrix sp.
Lineage: Bacteria; Pseudomonadati; Bacteroidota; Cytophagia; Cytophagales; Flammeovirgaceae
Description: bacterial SSU rRNA
Rfam family: Bacterial small subunit ribosomal RNA (bases 52-300)
Source: RNAcentral
UCGAACUCUGGUCCGUGGUGGGAGUGAACGCGAAGGUGGGUAGGUGUUUUCGAAAUAACUGGGCGUAAAGCGCGCGCAGGCGGCUAUCCAAGUCAGGGGUGAAAGCCCGGAGCUCAACUCCGGAACGGCCAUUGAAACUGUUUAGCUUGAGUAUGAGAGAGGUGAGUGGAAUUCCCAGUGUAGAGGUGAAAUUCGUAGAUAUUGGGAAGAACACCGGUGGCGAAGGCGGCUCACUGGCUCAUUACUGACGCUCAGGCGCGACAGCGUGGGGAUCAAACAGGAUUAGAUACCCCUGUAGUC